This 87-nucleotide transfer RNA is filed under the name Variovorax sp. PAMC28562. Its description in RNAcentral is "tRNA-Leu". It matches the Rfam family "tRNA". Rfam says of the family: Transfer RNA (tRNA) molecules are approximately 80 nucleotides in length. Lineage: Bacteria; Pseudomonadati; Pseudomonadota; Betaproteobacteria; Burkholderiales; Comamonadaceae. The record is from RNAcentral.
GCGUGGGUGACGGAAUAGGUAGACGUAGCGGGCUUAAAACCCGCCGCCUUCACGGGCGUACGGGUUCGAUUCCCGUCCCGCGCACCA